Molecule: unclassified non-coding RNA, 196 nt
Filed under: fungal sp.
Lineage: Eukaryota; Fungi
Also listed under: 1 other name
Description: partial internal transcribed spacer region
Rfam family: Eukaryotic small subunit ribosomal RNA (bases 1-46)
Source: RNAcentral
AAGUCGUAACAAGGUUUCCGUAGGUGAACCUGCGGAAGGAUCAUUAUUUGAUCUAAAUCGGAGGUAUUUGCAAAAAUAUCGCCUUUUUGCUUUGUGAACUGUAUUGUACUGUUGUAUUUUUUUUUAAAAAAGUUGUUGUUUUCUUCGGAAAGCAGAAAUUCAAAGACAACUUUCAGCAAUGGAUCUCUUGGCUCUU